RNAcentral lists this long non-coding RNA (434 nucleotides) under Gopherus agassizii (Agassiz's desert tortoise). Its description in RNAcentral is "lncRNA (ENSGAGG00000000098.1)". The record is from RNAcentral. Lineage: Eukaryota; Metazoa; Chordata; Testudines; Testudinidae.
GGGAGAAGGUGGUGAGUGUGGGGGAGGGGGCUCUGAGUUCACUGAUUGUCCCAUACUAACCCCCACCCUGUCCCCUCUUCCCCCACAGAAGAUGGAGGUAAACAAGAGAGCAGCAGAAGACACCAGGAGGGACUACGAACAAUUUGUGCAGGAGCUGGACCGUGACCACCAGAGUAUGAGGAGCUGUCUGAGGGUGAAGCCGCUGGAGAUGCAGAAACGCCUGGAGGGGAAACAUCAGGAGCUGCUAGAGCGCUGCCGGGGGGAGCUGCUGGGCGAGGACCCCCAGAAACAGGAGGCCCUGGAGGAGCUGCAGCAGGGGCUGCCCAGUCAGAUGGACGAGUUCCUGCUAGUCUACAAGCAGCGCUUUAAAAAGAUGGAGGUAAACAAGAGAGCAGCAGAAGACACCAGGAGGGACUACGAACAAUUUGUGCAGG